GAUGAACGCUGGCGGCGUGCCUAAUACAUGCAAGUCGAGCGAACAGACGAGGAGCUUGCUCCUCUGACGUUAGCGGCGGACGGGUGAGUAACACGUGGAUAACCUACCUAUAAGACUGGGAUAACUUCGGGAAACCGGAGCUAAUACCGGAUAAUAUAUUGAACCGCAUGGUUCAAUAGUGAAAGACGGUUUUGCUGUUACUUAUAGAUGGAUCCGCGCCGCAUUAGCUAGUUGGUAAGGUAACGGCUUACCAAGGCAACGAUGCGUAGCCGACCUGAGAGGGUGAUCGGACACACUGGAACGGAGACACGGUCCAGACUCCUACGGGAGGCAGCAGUAGGGAAUCUUCCGCAAUGGGCGAAAGCCUGACGGAGCAACGGCGCGUGAGUGAUGAAGGUCUUCGGAUCGUAAAACUCUGUUAUUAGGGAAGAACAAAUGUGUAAGUACCUAUGCACGUCUUGACGGUACCUAAUCAGAAAGCCACGGCUAACUACGUG
This 497-nucleotide ribosomal RNA is filed under the name uncultured bacterium. Its description in RNAcentral is "partial 16S ribosomal RNA". It matches the Rfam family "Bacterial small subunit ribosomal RNA", at positions 28 to 507 of the family's 1533-position model. The record is from RNAcentral.